AAAACCUGAUCCGUCAGAU
RNAcentral lists this ribosomal RNA (19 nucleotides) under Escherichia coli 2-460-02_S1_C2. Lineage: Bacteria; Pseudomonadati; Pseudomonadota; Gammaproteobacteria; Enterobacterales; Enterobacteriaceae. The record is from RNAcentral.